UCGGACGGGUGAGUAACGCGUGGGUAACCUGCCUCACACUGGGGGAUAACAGUUAGAAAUAGCUGCUAAUACCGCAUAAGACCACAGCACCGCAUGGUGCAGGGGUAAAAACUCCGGUGGUAUGAGAUGGACCCGCGUCUGAUUAGCUGGUUGGUGGGGUAACGGCCUACCAAGGCGAUGAUCAGUAGCCGGCCUGAGAGGGCGACCGGCCACAUUGGGACUGAGACACGGCCCAA
RNAcentral lists this ribosomal RNA (236 nucleotides) under uncultured bacterium. RNAcentral describes it as "partial 16S ribosomal RNA". It matches the Rfam family "Bacterial small subunit ribosomal RNA", at positions 98 to 334 of the family's 1533-position model. The record is from RNAcentral.